AGAGUUUGAUCCUGGCUCAGAACGAACGCUGGCGGCAGGCUUAACACAUGCAAGUCGAACGCCCCGCAAGGGGAGUGGCAGACGGGUGAGUAACACGUGGGAACAUGCCCAAAGGUACGGAAUAUCCUCGGGAAACUGAGAGCAAUACCGUAUGUGCCCGAAAGGGGAAAGAUUUAUCGCCUUUGGAUUGGCCCGCGUCGGAUUAGCUAGUUGGUGGGGUAAAAGCCUACCAAGGCGACGAUCCGUAGCUGGUCUGAGAGGACGACCAGCCACACUGGGACUGAGACACGGCCCAGACUCCUACGGGAGGCAGCAGUGGGGAAUCUUGGACAAUGGGCGCAAGCCUGAUCCAGCCAUGCCGCGUGGAUGAUGAAGGCCUUAGGGUUGUAAAAUCCUUUCGUUGGGGACGAUAAUGACG
Molecule: ribosomal RNA, 418 nt
Filed under: uncultured Pannonibacter sp.
Lineage: Bacteria; Pseudomonadati; Pseudomonadota; Alphaproteobacteria; Hyphomicrobiales; Stappiaceae
Description: bacterial SSU rRNA
Rfam family: Bacterial small subunit ribosomal RNA
Source: RNAcentral